RNAcentral lists this transfer RNA (72 nucleotides) under Camelus bactrianus (Bactrian camel). It matches the Rfam family "tRNA". Rfam says of the family: Transfer RNA (tRNA) molecules are approximately 80 nucleotides in length. Their secondary structure includes four short double-helical elements and three loops (D, anti-codon, and T loops). Further hydrogen bonds mediate the characteristic L-shaped molecular structure. tRNAs have two regions of fundamental functional importance: the anti-codon, which is responsible for specific mRNA codon recognition, and the 3' end, to which the tRNAs corresponding amino acid is attached (by aminoacyl-tRNA synthetases). tRNAs cope with the degeneracy of the genetic code in two manners: having more than one tRNA (with a specific anti-codon) for a particular amino acid; and 'wobble' base-pairing, i.e. permitting non-standard base-pairing at the 3rd anti-codon position. Lineage: Eukaryota; Metazoa; Chordata; Mammalia; Artiodactyla; Camelidae. RNAcentral also lists the same sequence under 2 other names. The record is from Rfam by way of RNAcentral.
GAAGGUAUAGCUCAGUAGUAGAGCAUGUCCUUAGCAUGCACAAGGUCCUGGGUUCAAUCCCCAGUUCCUCUG